Molecule: long non-coding RNA, 357 nt
Filed under: Homo sapiens (human)
Lineage: Eukaryota; Metazoa; Chordata; Mammalia; Primates; Hominidae
Description: HSALNT0301326
Source: RNAcentral
GGCAGGGCACGGUGGCUCAGACUUGUGACUCAUUUGUAGAAGUGGGCCCUGUAUUCAGAAGUCAUUCAUUGAGGUGCCCUUCUACAAGGGCCAGGACCUCCUCCAGGCCACAGCAGUCACCUGGAUGAUGAGGGCUCCAGGAGGCACCCUCAACCCUGGAAUUCUCUUUUUCAAAUAAGAGAUCCAGGUGAGAACCGUGAGGAUGGGCACUUGGACAGGAAGAGGUUGCUUUGGCCCGAGCAGCAACAACGUUGGUCACUCAAGCCUUCACCAGGUUCUGCUCCACACAGAAGGAAGGAAAGCCCAUCUCAUCAGGCCUUGGGCACCAACAACACAAAUAGUUCCUUGCUAGCAAUA